Melospiza melodia melodia is the source of this 592-nucleotide long non-coding RNA. RefSeq lists it as uncharacterized. The record is from RefSeq and is a predicted model, not a curated record. Lineage: Eukaryota; Metazoa; Chordata; Aves; Passeriformes; Passerellidae. The transcript is spliced from 3 exons.
AGCGAAUGUCUGUGUGACCUCUGUCAUGGAGCCAUUUCUCCACACUAUACUAUCAAAGUUUAAAGGGAUCAGUGAAUUUUAACUCUGGAGUCCUCUAUGCUAAGGAUGCUCAGCUUACAGAUGAUGAAAUGUUCAGUAAUGUAUUUGCUGGAGCUGUGCUUACCCAAGGUUUGGGUAAAACAAGCUUUGGGUUCCUUCUGUCUCACUGGGAGUUGCCCAAUUCAGUUGCAUCUGGUGAAAUUCACCCUGAGACCUUACAGAACUAGCUCCAACUACGUGAGAGCCAUUUGCAGUUCUCUCCAGACACCUGGAGAAUGGGCGACGUUUCUGAGGAUCCGGCGAGCGUGCUUCUGUCAAAACUCAGUCUGUGAAAUUUCUGGGGAAAACACUUCUGUGUCCUGAAGGGUUCAAACUCUGGUGAGGAUCCAGUUAUCAGGUGCUCACCUGGAUGGUUCCAGCUCCCAAAGGUAACACUUGUACUCUUGCCCUGUAGUUUACAUCUAUUGUAUUUUUGUUAUUUUGCAAGAUUUUUUGUCUUUGCAAAAUAUUGUGCAUUUCACUCUUUGGAACCUCUCAGAUGGUUCUUUGGUGC